AUAUGGGAUUUGAACCUCAGAUUCGC
RNAcentral lists this non-coding RNA (26 nucleotides) under Cricetulus griseus (Chinese hamster). The record is from RNAcentral. Lineage: Eukaryota; Metazoa; Chordata; Mammalia; Rodentia; Cricetidae.